CAGGUUGUAAUCUAGGAUUAUUUUUUGUUUACAUCAAAAUAUUAUUUGUGCAAUUCAAAUCAGCUUGA
Molecule: transfer RNA, 68 nt
Filed under: Catacanthus incarnatus
Lineage: Eukaryota; Metazoa; Arthropoda; Insecta; Hemiptera; Pentatomidae
Description: tRNA-Val
Source: RNAcentral